CCUACGGGGCGCAGCAGUGAGGAAUAUUGGUCAAUGGGCGCGAGCCUGAACCAGCCAAGUAGCGUGAAGGAUGACUGCCCUACGGGUUGUAAACUUCUUUUAUAAAGGAAUAAAGUGAGGCACGUGUGCCUUUUUGUAUGUACUUUAUGAAUAAGGAUCGGCUAACUCCGUGCCAGCAGCCGCGGUAAUACGGAGGAUCCGAGCGUUAUCCGGAUUUAUUGGGUUUAAAGGGAGCGUAGGUGGGUUGUUAAGUCAGUGGUGAAAGUUUGCGGCUCAACCGUAAAAUUGCAAUUGAUACUGGCAGUCUUGAGUGCAGUUGAGGUAGGCGGAAUGCGUGGUGUAGCGGUGAAAUGCUUAGAGAUCACGAAGAACUCCGAUUGCGAAGGCAGCUUACUAAUCUGCCACUGACAUUGAUGCACGAAAGUGUGGGUAGCAAACAGGAUUAGAUACCCGUGUAGUC
This 460-nucleotide ribosomal RNA is filed under the name uncultured bacterium. RNAcentral's name for it is "partial 16S ribosomal RNA". It matches the Rfam family "Bacterial small subunit ribosomal RNA", at positions 338 to 795 of the family's 1533-position model. The record is from RNAcentral.